AGUAAAUAACCAAUAGGUGUAAUCCGCGGGAGAGCUUCGCUGCAUAUUUCUCUUCAAGAUUGAGAAUCGCAACGAAAUCCUCGUCGAGCAACACGUCCACUGAGCAACCAUGUCUGUGUCCUUAAAGGAACUCUGUCAGGUGCAGAGUAGAACUAUGAACUUGAAAAUCAACCAUUCUGAUGACUGGCGUCCCCAUCCGAGUCACCACCUCAGACAACAACAGUCAUAAACUCACAAACACAAAUACACUCAGUAAUGGGCUUAAUAAAGAAAGACUUAAUUAUGAUUUUAUCUGUGUUAACCUAUGAUAUCAGUUAUUGAUGUAUUUUAAAUAUUUACGUAUUACUAGGCUUAUCAUACAUGCAUUGAAGUUUUAAAAUGUAUCUAAUAUAAUACUUUAAUUAAAUUGAAUGUUUUGGA
Misgurnus anguillicaudatus (oriental weatherfish) is the source of this 420-nucleotide non-coding RNA. The record is from RefSeq and is a predicted model, not a curated record. Lineage: Eukaryota; Metazoa; Chordata; Actinopteri; Cypriniformes; Cobitidae.